CCCCUCUCAGGAUUACACCUGGAGAGUUUCCAGUACUUUACCAGUCUCGGCUGUGGGAGGGAGAGUCAAGCAGAGACAUACACAUUCCAUUCCUAGCUUGGCCAGUGGUUAGUGAGUGGAAGGCAAUCUGCUACAAGU
This 138-nucleotide small nucleolar RNA is filed under the name Ornithorhynchus anatinus (platypus). The record is from RNAcentral. Lineage: Eukaryota; Metazoa; Chordata; Mammalia; Monotremata; Ornithorhynchidae.